This 254-nucleotide ribosomal RNA is filed under the name uncultured bacterium. Its description in RNAcentral is "partial 16S ribosomal RNA". It matches the Rfam family "Bacterial small subunit ribosomal RNA", at positions 524 to 776 of the family's 1533-position model. The record is from RNAcentral.
UACGUAGGGUGCAAGCGUUAAUCGGAAUUACUGGGCGUAAAGCGUGCGCAGGCGGUGAUGUAAGACAGGUGUGAAAUCCCCGGGCUUAACCUGGGAACUGCAUUUGUGACUGGCAGGCUUUGAGUGUGGCAGAGGGAGGUAGAAUUCCACGUGUAGCAGUGAAAUGCGUAGAGAUGUGGAGGAAUACCGAUGGCGAAGGCAGCCUCCUGGGCCAACACUGACGCUCAUGCACGAAAGCGUGGGGAGCAAACAGG